UUCCUCUAUAUUAACCCUUCACCUCCCUUCUUCCACCCAACGGCGAUCCCAGAAGUCUCCCGCCUUCUCAAAUCCCCCUUCUAUCAGGACAAAGUCGGUGGUAUUUUUUGGAAGAAGGGAUACCAAGAAGAGAGGGAUACCCACUGUUUGAUCUUAGGAAGAAAGGUUGCUACUGAUACUGUUGUGCUAUGUCUCUUCUAAACAGUCUUCGUUUAGAGGUUAUGCUUUGGUGAUGGAUUACUUAGCUAUGCUCUUCUUGAUUCCCGUCCUAUCAAGCUUGACUUCUUGGUCGCCUGGGUUUUAACCAUUUUGUGGUGUCUGGCAUUAACUAGAAUAGGGGCAUGGUGCUGAGUUCUAAAACCUUUGUAAAUUUCUUGGUGUAAUAGGAGAUUUACAAGAUUGUUUGGAUUCUUCUUCAUGCCUGAAUUAGACCAUUUGGAAUCUGAAUGAUGUUUUCUCUCAAAGCUUACAUUUGCAUUGUUAAAGAUUACUUUUAA
Long non-coding RNA from Elaeis guineensis (African oil palm), 497 nucleotides. RefSeq lists it as uncharacterized. The record is from RefSeq and is a predicted model, not a curated record. Lineage: Eukaryota; Viridiplantae; Streptophyta; Magnoliopsida; Arecales; Arecaceae.